UUGAAAGGGGCAGAUACUCAGCAGCUGAGCCUUGGGAGCGCCAUGAUUGUGAGGGGCGGACGGACCCGCUGAGCAGUUCGUCGGCGCCAUAAUCAUGAGGGGCAACGCACGUCUGCUAGCCUUUCGUCGGCGCCAUGAUCGUGCGUAGCAAACGCACUUCCGUUGUGCUGUGACGCCAUGAUUGUGAAGGGUAGAUGCCCUCACUCAAAAACGGUUAUGGGGACGGGAACCAGCAUCGAAGAGCCAACGCUGUGGGCACCGUGAUCCUAAGGGGCAGGCAAACUUCCGCUGAGUGGUCCGCGACGCCAUGAUUGUGAAGGUCAGGCAUACGUCUCCCCACCCCCAUCCCAUCCACCACUUCCGGAGGGGUUGCCCUGGAUCCGAAUAGACCGCCUUCAUCUGGAGCAAAAUCACAUGAGGAAGUUGGGGCUAGCUUCUCACCCAGCUUGACAAAGCUGUACGUUUCUGUAAAGGUGGACACCGGCUUCAACCCCAGAACUUAUGUUGUGUUUUCUCGGGUUACUAUGUAUACACACACACACACACACAUAUACAUACGUAUAUAUGUACACACAUACGUACUCGGGUUACUAUAUAUAUAAUAUAUAUAUAAUUUCCUAGCAACUACCGCAUACUGAACGCCUGCUGUGCCAGGCGCCCUGCGGGCAUCUCACGUGCCCCUCACCGCAAACCUGAGGUCACUACCACGGCCACCUGUUCGGGAGACACUGCAGGUGCACUGCUUGAAGCCAGGAAGUGCCCUUAGCGGGAGCGACUGCUGGUUAACCGACCUGAUGGGAGGACGUGCUCAAUCUCGAGGCGGCAUCUCAUCCCCCUUUUCUUUGCAAGAGCCUGGUCUGACAACACAUAAACCACUUUCCCAGGAAACAACGGAAUAAUAUACUCCGGGCCCUCUGACGGCACAUGGAGUUUCGCACCCCGGGUCCUGGUGUCUUCACCUGGGAAAUUAGUCUAGAACUCAUUCAAGAACUAGUUCAAGACUCAGGUGUGGGGAGAUUCUGAAAUGCCUGGCACGCGGUCAGCACGCCCCUGGCUGGAGCUGAGCUUGCAGGCAGGCAAAGGAGCCCGUUGCGCCUUCAGAGCUUUUCUCUCCGGGGUAACCUGCCGUCGCCUGCGCGUGCGGACCGGCGCGGGCUCGCGUUAACACGCCCGCUGGGGGCCGGGGCCGGGGGCGGCCAAGCUGGUGCAGCGCCCACAGCGCCAGGUGCACCGCUGCACCGCGCGCUUCCGGAGCGGGCUGUUAGCACCCACGGGGGCCAAGAAGCAAACCACCUCAAGAAAUUGAAGAAUUGGGAGUCACAGGGAAACUGGGCCAAUAAAGGAAGACAAGUGAAAAGGUAGUAUUUUAUUGUCCAGGAUAAUUUUGGUUAGACACGAUUUUUGCCCUCAGAGCUGAUGGAGAAUGGGACUCCACUACCCCAUAGUCCAGUUGGUUCGCUGUAUUCAGCAACGCCCCAGGUUUGUUUCUAGGUUGGGUUUAAAUAUUUACGUAAAUUCCAGUUAACAUACAGCAUGAUAUUAGUUGCAGGGGUACAGUGCAGUGAUUCUCCCUUAUUUUUAAUGAUUUUUAUGACAUUUACCUACGCCCGCUCCGGUUCCUCAGAGAUAAAGCAAUCCACCUCCCAUUUGCUUGCGUGUAACUGUUACUUUUCAUUGGGGUGAUUGUUCAUGGGCCGGUGAGGCCCCUGACAAAAAAGAUCUUCCUCUCCCAAACGGGUCCUUGUUUUCAGCUCAGAAUGAGUAAGAAAGAUUCCCAGUCAUACCCUCACGUCCACCUCUCCCCGCGCACGAAAUGAACCAGAGUUCAAGGGUGGCCACAGGGAAAGGGAGGGGCUCUUUCCACCCUGCCUUGCGGACUGGGCGGUGCAGCCUCUCCUCUGUGGGAGUAAAAACGAGGAGCACGCGCUGCGCUCAGCUGGGACGAGGGCGCAGGACCAAGAGCCGGAUCUCGAAGCCCUGCACCUGAGCAGCUUUGAUGGGAGCGGCAAGCUGAGCACCCCUCCCCUUUGGCCCCGCGCAGGCGGCCGGCUCCUAAAAAGCCAAGCCCCUUAGCGCCCCGGUGACCUUUUCACCGCCUGCAAAGUACAGUUUGUGCAAAACUCGGAUGCUGGACGAAGCACUGGUAUAGGUUACACCCUAAAUGGUGGGAUAUACCUUUCGUGGGGCUUUUAAUAAUUAAAAAAAAGAUCAUGUGACGGAUUGUUUUGGCCAGAUACUUUUCAGCAUCCAUCAACGGUCCUUCCAUUGGUAAAUAAAGAAGAUCAAACUACAUUUCUUUUAAGAUGAAAAGUUUAUUUUGCCUUCUGCCUAGAAGCAAAACUAGUGAAAAUUAAAGUAUAAAAAUAAAUACAAUUUACAUUAAUGGGCAUUCCACUCAAAGUAAAAGUAACAAAAAUAAUGUAUAUAAAUUAAAAAUCCAUCAAAAGCACAAAACAAUGUCUGGCACUUUUAUGAGGAAAAGCUGUGAACAUUAAAAUAUGUGUAAAACACACAGGCUUUUAUCUUUAAAAAAAACAACACUCAAGUUUGUCAACCUUAAUCUAAAGCUAGUUUUAACUUUCUCCAAAACAAACUAUUUUUUUUUAGCUAAUUUGCAUUAGUGCACACAAAAUUUGGAAGUAUCUGUCUUUCUGGAAAGACCCACAAUGAUAUGAGUAAGCUGUAUCCUGAGUUUUCAGAAUGAUAAAGCACAAUUUAUCAUAUUAAGAUAUUUUGCUAUACUUUAUAAAGAAUAUAUCAGUAACUCAGACAUUUUUGACCGCCUUCUGAUUUCCUGGCUCACUCACUCAACAAAUGAUACAUCGCAAUAAAGAAAAUCAAGUUUACACCCUGGGUAGAUUAUUACGGUCUACAGCUGGAUGUAAUAGCUAACUUUUAAAUAGGGCCGAAAACUGGAGAAAACAAUCUUUAUCUCCACCUUCUUCAAAGGAUAUUAAGAAUAUAUACAGUCUGCAUUUUCAAAAUACCAGUAUCAUUUUAAAAUUCAAGUUAGAAAGAGUAAAUGUACACAGUCCCGAUUUUAUGUGAGAAGCACAAAGCCCUUUUUGGAAAUGGUAUGAUAAAUUAACAGUGGCAUUCACUUUCAUAAAAUCAUGUUCCCUUGGUAACAUUUUUUGGUUUGUAUUUUAAAUGAAUAUGUCAGUGAUGAAAACCUUAAAUGACAGUGCCUCCUCAGUAAUGCGUAACUUCAGCUUGACAAUAUUCCUGUUCCAUCUGCAAAUCUGAACUUGUUAUAUAGCCCUUUAGUCUCUCCUAAAUCAAGCAAGCUACAAAGAGCAGACCAUGAAGAAAGACAAGACGCAGACCACCAAGAAAACAGAAGCGCAUGCAGUGUUACUCUAUUUUACAGAAAUGGAUGCACUGAUUCACUCCUAGGUGCUACUACAUUCCAGAAGAUUGUGCUAUCUCCCCUAAUUUUUUACCCUCCAUAGAAAGAUUUUAUGAUUUAGGAGAAGUGUUUCCAAGAGUACUGGGGUAACAUACAUUAAACCUAACAUAUCUGCACAAGACAACUAGCUGUUAAGAGGAAUGUAUUUUUGAUCAAAGCAGUGGCCCCCAACCACUUCUAUGGUAAAGUUGGGGUGGACCACAAUCAGCAGGCGAGUGUUUUCUCCUAUGUGGUUAUCCCGUAAAUCCAAGAAUAUGAAGACUGAGAGGUUAAUCAGUUUUUAAAGUUACAUAAACCAGGAGAAAAACAUCCUUCUGCAGUAAUUUCCCCUCAAAUACAACAGUAUCUAACUUAUCAAAUUUAGCAAUCAGUAUGCAGAGAUGAAUGAAAUUUGUAUUUGAGAACUUAAUUUGUAAUUUAUCACACCUUUUUGACAUUUUAUAGAAAUAAAUCCAAAUGCCCUUUAAGUUUACAAAAACGUUCUCUGCAGACAUCUGGCUACAGAAAACAAACUUAGGUUUGUACAGGUUAAGCAAAGAGAUGGUCAAUUACUAAAUACUAAUGUGCCUUCACCCAAACCUAACAUUAAGAGGAAAAUGACGGUGUAGGGAAGGAAUUAACCAGACUGAUCAAGUUGCCCAGAUAAUUGCUCAGCCCUUUGAUGUCACUUUGCCUGUGUAAACAGUCCAGGCUUAAAUGAAAAGUCCUGGGCAGGGAAAACCGUAUGCAUGAAACCUCCCAUCCACCCCUUGGUUAUCCUAACGAAUGUUGUCUUCUUAAAUUGUCGCAACAUUUGGCCGCUUUCUUUGGGUUUUUCCUGCAUAUGCUCCUAAAAAAAGAGCAAAACUAAUAUUAUUUCUCAAUGUCAGUUUUUUUAUAAUACCGUUUAAUGAGUGUUUACUAUAUAAUGCCAAGCACUGAGCUAGGCAAUGUACAUUAUUAUAUUUAAUCCUUACAUAACAUAAUCCCAAGGUAGAAACUUACUACCAUUUUAAGAAUACAGCCGAGACAUGGGAGAGGAAGUCACUUGCCUAAGUAACAGAUACUCUGAGAACCCAGUUACACCUGAUUUGCUGUUUGACCCAAUAACCACUGUGCCAUACUGCUUCCGACUCUGCUUUAAUUAGUGGUUUCUGAAUUUCACUAUAAACUCCUGAGUCAAGCACCAGACAUCAAAUGAGCCAAACAGGUCUUAAAACAUACGAUCAGUGAUUGCAAUUGAGUUUGUAAGAACUAUAAACUUUAAGUGCUCUGCAGCAAGCUGUAAGCCCUUGGCAUUCUACUCCAAUCUUAGGGUAUGAAAGUCUGUCAUCACAAAAAAAACUAGCUUUCUAUCAAUUGCUUAAUAAACAUUCAUUCUCCAUGUGGAUCAAACUAAAGCAUAAGUUUCAAGUUUGUUUGUAACACAAUCCAAGCCACUAAGAAUCUAAGCAGGAAAGAAAAAUCUUUUCAACUGCAACUAUGGGUCCCUGGGUUGAGAUUCAUACUUAGAAUCUUAAUCAGUCAUACCAUAAUUUUUCAAUUUACAUACAAUGAUAAAAUCGUUAGUCUUUUUCAAUUGUCUAGGCACUCAGGUAUAAAUAAAUCUUUAGAAAAAUAGGAAAGAAAUUUUGUACUUGUUUGGAUACAUAGUAAUUGUACAUGUUCAUUUAAGAGUGAAGUUCAUUUGUAUUUAUAAUUAUGUUGCAAUGCAAUUAAACCGCAAUAGUUCUAAACAUCGAACUUGAGGACAUGACUAACUGCACUACUCCGUUCCUAAUGUGACUUCCUAUUCAUCCUUCAUACUGUUGAGUAUUACUUGGCUCUUUUUCUUACAAAUUCACAAGGGACAAACAGUGGAGAUGAAAUGCAUGAGACAAGAACAUGGAGAGUAGUCACUGUGGCAAUAAAUAAUAUCACGCAAAACAGUACUAACUCCUCAAUCAACUGCCAGCUGGCCAGAAUUUAUCACAAUAUGUGACUCUAAUAUGGGAAAAAAUUGAAAAUGUCUUGAAAUCCCACAUAAGUUCACAAGCUGCAGAUCUGGUGUUUGCUUGGACUUCUCCUAGUUACCUUUCAAUCCAGUUGAUUCUGACCACCUCUGGAGGAAGCAGAAUCCUCAACUACAUAACCCCCUUUAAAACACCUCCAUUGACUGUCACUCACAGUGGCUUCCAAAAGAUGACCUUUUACAUUAUCCUCUACAAGUGCAACAUUAUAAAUUAAAUUCACUACAUACAUGCAAAAAGUCAGCAAUCAUUUCAAAGCUAUGUUCAGUAUCUUGUUCCCUCUUUGAACUUAUGUAAACAAAUGGCAAUAACAAAAAAAUUUCUUAUGUUGUUCAUUCCCUCCUAAUUUGGAGGAAAUCAGUUAGUAAUAAAAGCUCUAAAUAUGCCUAACUGUAUAUUAAUGGGAAGAUUAGAAUUGAUUAAAUAACUCAUUGCCUAGUAAUUAAUUGUAUAUUAAUGGGAAGAUUAAAAUGAUUAACUCAUUGCCUAGUGAUUAAUUUUUGGUUUCUUUUAAAUGUUUAGAAAGAAGUGUAGUUAAAGCAAAGCAUUUUGAAAGUAUGUUUAAUGGAUCACAUAAUUUUUGGUGAGCUUAUCAAAGUAUCUUAACAAAGACACCUACCAAAUAUUAAAACAUUAGCUUAAAAGUUUGGCAUGAGUUUCAUAUUAAAUUUGUCUUCUUGCCACCAUAGACAGAAUUUAAAAUCCACAAAAUAACAGAAACAAAACUUACCCCCUCCCGCCUGGCAUAUUCACAUGUGAUCUUGUGGCCAGAGGGAGAAAUUUUUCAUCACUUUAUGUGCAGAUACAAAUAUUCCUGGGUGAUACACUGCCCCAAAGCUCAACAAACAUGCACAGAUUUAGGCAUCAGAUUAUUAUACUUUACUCAUUUAUAAAAAGGUUUUCUCAAUUAGGUACAUACAAUUCUACAGAUUUUUCAGAUUAAAAAAAUGUAUAGCGUUUCCACGGGAUUAUUACAGAAGCCAAGAUUGGACACACAGUUUUACCAAGGUCUCCUGACCGCCACAAAAUACUAACACGGUGGUCAUUAGCAGGAAUGACUGUGAAUAUGCCCAAAUUAUGGUGGCAAGGAAAGACAAGACAUUGCACUCGUAUGGCCUGCAUCGUGGGGCAGCUCGUGCACGUCCUUCUAUUGAAUGGGCUUGAAGAACUCAUUUGCUACACACCUGAAACAGGCGCUCUGUUAGGCACUCUGCUCUGUGAAGACUUCUGUCUAUUUUGCACAACCCCCUUCACUGAUGUCUUAGGGGUUCUAAUUGAAUAUAAAAGAAUUAAUAAGUCACUUGCAUCAAGAUCUAAAUGUUCAACAUUCAAAGAAAGCAACCAUACUGCAACAGUUCAAAGUGCAAAUAUGCUUGGAAAGAACUUAAGUCUCACGAAUGCGCACAGCAAGGAAGCUACGCUUUCCUUCAUCAGGAGACUAGAACCAAGGCUUAUACUUUGUUGGAAGGAUCACUUUGGUGAUGCUGAACUUACUAUAUGGAUGCUUACAAUACUUAAUGAGCAAAAUGGUAUGAAAUGAAAAGUAAAAGCAUGCCAACAUAAGAUGGUAAUUAAGAUAUAAUACACAACAGUACACCAAAGGAUUAUCUUGGAGCACAAAACUUAAAAGAUCUUCGCAAUGCUAUAAAACAAAUCACACUUGUAAAAUAGAUAUCCUUUAUGUAAAGAUACUAAAUUAUUUUUCCCUCUCAAAGCUAAUCUUGCUUUAGAUGUUUUUAAAUACCCAGGGGUGGCAUUCUUACCCUUGUCUACUAAGUAGCCUAUGAACUGGUGCAUUCUGUCCUUGGUUUGGCUGAAGGACUCUGUUAACAAAGUAAGUAAAAAAUUAAUUCAGAAGAGACUGACAUAAAUUCAGUUAUCCCCGCCCCCCCCCCCCCAUUUUUUAAAUAGGUGAAAGAUGAUUAACAGUGAGGUGACACUGGUCAUCUAUGCAGAUAUACCAAUGUAAUACCACGGAGCAAAUCACAAUGACUAAAGCAUAUUAAUAGGGUACUUAUAUUUUUUUCACCAAGAGCCCAAAUCUUAGGUUUUUGUCUGGAUGUCUCAAGUGUUUAAUUCUUGUGUGUUAGUUUAUUUAUACACUUCAUAAAAACCAACUUUUCCUUUCAAACAUCCAAGGGAAGUAACAUCACUCUUGUAAAAGUAGAAAACAGGUCUGAAAUAUUAAGCUAGAUUUCUAAGGUUUUUAAAUAAUUAUCCUAAAUAAGUCCUAGACUGUGAGCUGAACUCAGGACAUCGGGGGCUCAAAUUUCUACCAAAGACAGCAUGUCCUAUAGAAAGGUCCUGAGACAUGUGGUCUGUCAUAUAGCCAGCUACAUGACCUAGUGUUAAUAUGGAUCUUGGCCAUUCUUCAGUCCUCCAAUCAGCUGGGAGUGUUCUGCUGAUGUCAAGUUAGAAAUAACUCAACAAAGAGCAAGCUUGGCAUUUACAAAGAAAAUCUUUUUUUUAAAUAAAUAAAUAGCUUCUCACGGAGAUGAAGUAAUUUUUCUCACCUUGUUUCAGAAAGAUUUUGUUUAACCAGAAAUUUCUUAUUUGGCAUUCCCAUUUCAGCAGCUCUAACACAACAUAAAAAUAAGGACACACAAUGUAUUUAGAAAGGGAGAGAAAACCCUUACAGAUGUGAUACACGAUGACAGAAACAAAUCAUUUACAAGUUUUGUACUACUCAGCUGUACUAAGCACACCAGAGACUACUUUCCAGAAAGAAGCAGCUUGCAACGAUAGUCACUUUGCAUUAGGUUUCCCUCCCGUGAAGUCUUUCGCAUAUUAGAAAAAGACUACAGGGUUGCCUGGGUGGCUCAGUCAGUUAAGCAUCCGACUUGGGCUCAGGUCACGAUCUCACAAUUUGUGAGUUCAAGACCCGCAUCAGGCUCACUGCUGUCAGCAUGGAGCCUGCUUGGGAUCCUGCUUCAGAUCCUCUGUCCCCCUCUCUCUCUGCCCCUCCUCUGCUGGCACUAUCUCAAAAAUAAAUAUUAAAAAAAAAAAAAGAA
Acinonyx jubatus (cheetah) is the source of this 8408-nucleotide long non-coding RNA. RefSeq lists it as uncharacterized. The transcript has 2 exons. Lineage: Eukaryota; Metazoa; Chordata; Mammalia; Carnivora; Felidae. The record is from RefSeq and is a predicted model, not a curated record.